UCCCUGGUGGUUCAGUGGUGAAAAUACUUCACUUCCAAUGCAGGGGACAUGGGUUCCAUCCCUGACUAGGGAA
Molecule: transfer RNA, 73 nt
Filed under: Ovis aries (sheep)
Lineage: Eukaryota; Metazoa; Chordata; Mammalia; Artiodactyla; Bovidae
Rfam family: tRNA
About the family: Transfer RNA (tRNA) molecules are approximately 80 nucleotides in length. Their secondary structure includes four short double-helical elements and three loops (D, anti-codon, and T loops).
Source: Rfam by way of RNAcentral